RNA transcript from Piliocolobus tephrosceles (Ugandan red Colobus), 3568 nucleotides. It is a transcript of the gene named keratin, type II cytoskeletal 8 pseudogene, with no coding region annotated. Lineage: Eukaryota; Metazoa; Chordata; Mammalia; Primates; Cercopithecidae. The transcript is spliced from 2 exons. The record is from RefSeq and is a predicted model, not a curated record.
GGAGCGACAGAGAAGUACACUACAGGGGAAAUCAGCAAGGGGAAGGAGAGGCCCGGGAACGCAGCAGGGCGAGUUGUUUUGCAUCACUCGUCCGGGAAGCCCUAGAUGCAGGGGUCCAGGGUCCAGACUGCGUUAAAGUAACGUUCUUUUCUCCCCGGGCGCGCCCUGUCUUCCUGGGCAUUCCUUGCACUUUCUGUUCGCUUUGCAGAGAGAUCUGAGCUUCGCUCUUUCCCAGGUCGGACACUCGCAGCUCCGUUCCCGGACUGGGGCUCCCUGCCGUCCAGGGUCGAGUCUGGGGGCCAGGACCUGCAGGGAUGACGUGAGUUGAGGAGGCUCAGCGGAAAGCGACAGGAACGGUGGGUGGAAAAGGAAAGGGCCCAGUAGACGAAUCUGAUUUAUCUUCUGUGACUAAGCGCCCGCAACAGACAGUAAGCUCUCUGAAGUUAAGAAGCAUAGUUUUUUUGUUCACUACUGUAUACUCAGCACCUAAUAGUACUUGGCACAUGGGAACUGUUUGUCAAAUGCAAGAGCGUACGCCCCAAAAGUGGGAGUCAGGAAAACCAGAAAAAAUGCCUUUAAGUAUUACAGAAAUGCCACAGGCCUCCACUUAAAUUGAAAAGCAAGCUGACACCUCUUGAUAAAAAUGUGGAUUGAGAUCAAUAAGCAGCUUCUCCACUCCUUCUGGAAUCUCCACCUGGUUCAGCCUACCUGCCUCCACCAUGUCCAUCAGGGUGACCCAGAAGUCCUAUAAGGUGUCCACCUUUGGCCCAGGCUUUCAGCAGCUGCCUCUGUAUAAGUGGGUCCAGUGCCUGCACCAGCUCCUCGAACUUCUCUCCCUAGUGGGGAGCAGAAGCUUCCGGGGUGGCCUGGGUGGAGGCUAUGGUGGGGCCAGCAGCAUGGGAGGUAUCACCACCAUCACGGUCAACCAGAGCCUGCUGAGCCCCCUUAACCUGGAGGUAGACUCCAACAACAUCCAGGCUGUCCACACCCAGGAGGAGAGGCAGAUCAAGACCCUCAAGUGUGCCUCCUUCAUAGACAAAGUACAGUUCCUGGAGCAGCAGAACAAGAUGCUGGAGACCAAGUGGAGCCUUCUACAGCAGCAGAAGAUGGCUGGAAGCAGCGUGACAACAUGUUCGGGAACUGUAUCAACAACCUUCGACAGCAGCUGGAACCAGGAGAAGUUGAAGCUGGAAGCGGAGCUUGGCAACAUGCAGGGGCUGGUGGAGGACUUCAGGAACAAGUAUGAGGAUGAGAUCAAGAAGCGUACAGAGGUGAAUGAAUUUGUCCUCAUCAAGAAGGAUGUAGAUGAAACUUACAUGAACAAGGUAGAGCUGGAGUCUCAGCUGGAAGGGCCGACUAUAUGAAGUGGAGAUCCAGGAGCUGCAGUCCCAAAUUUCCAACAUGUCUGUGGUGCUAUCCGUGGACAACAGCUGCUCCCUGGACAUGGACAGCAUCAUUGUUGAGGUCAAGACGCAGCACGAGGAGGUUGCCAACCGCAGCUGGGCUGAGGCUGAAAGCACGUACCAGAUCAAAUAUUUGGAGCCGCAGAUGCUGGCUUGGAGGCACGGGGAUGACCUGCGGCAUACAAAGACUUGAGAUCUCCAAGAUGAACGGAACAUCAGCCAGCUCCAGGCUGAGAUUGAGGGCCUCAAAGGCCAGAGGGCUUCCCUGGAGGCCGCUGUCACAGAUGCUGAGCAGCGUGGGGAGCUGGCCAUUAAGCAUGUCAAUGCCAAACUGUCCAAGCUAGAGGCCACACUGCAGCGCGUGAGUACCGGGAGCUGAGGAAUGUCAACUUGGCCCUGGACAUGGAGAUCGCCACCUACAGAAAGCUGCUGGAGGGCUAGGAGAGCUGGCUGGAGUCUGGGAUGCAGAACAUGAGAAUCCACACAAAGACAACCAGCGGCUAUGCAGGUGGUCUGAACUUGGCCUAUGUGGAUCUCACAAGCCCUGGCCUUAGCUAUGGCCUGGGCUCCAGCUUUGGCUCUGGCGCAGGCUCCAGUUCCUUCAGCUGCACCAGCUCCACCAGGGCCGUGGUUGUGAAGAAGAUCGAGACCCGUGAUGGGAAGCUGGUGUCUGAGUCCUCUGACUUCCUGCCCAAGUGAACAGCUGUGGCAGCCCCUCCUAGUCUGCUCCUCCUGUGGCUGCCACAGACUUUGGGAGGGAGGCUGCUGUGUGGGGGAGCACACGGAACAGGAGACCCCCCCUGAGGCUCAGCCCACCUGCAGGGGAGUUUACCGCCUGGGGGCCCCCCCUUGCCCAUGCUUCCAGCUACAAAAUUCAACUGCUUUUUUUUUUCCUUUCUUUUUUUUGGUCCAAAAUAAAACCUCAGCUAGCUCCAACACACACACACACAGAAAAAAAAAUUGUAGAUUGAGUCGUUAUUGCUUCUAGUUUACUGAGUUCCUUCUAUUAAUAUAAAUUCUUGAUUUGGUAUCAUGCUCAUUCUGGGGUGAAAAGUUUAGGGAAUAAAUCAGACAUACAUUUCAGGGAAAAACCCCCUGUGUAUUUAAAAGUAGUUGUGACACACUCUGUUAAACAAUUAUCCUUAAUUAUAAUUCUUAGGUAGUCUAUUGGCUUAAAUUAUUACUUGAAAUUGUCACUACUCGUUUGCCAAGUUUAUGUGUUUAGUGUCUGUAUUUCCGGAUCUUCCCAGAUAGAAGAUACAUAAUUUAUCAAAUGGGCAAAGAAGUCCUUCAGGGAGUUGGUAAUAGCUCUACAUGCUGAUUGGUAAUUGAAUUAGCAAGAUAUAGUAGAUCUAACUGAUUAGGAGGUUUCAAUUUUACUUGCUGGACUAAGGAAGUAAAAUGCAGAAUUAUUAAUAACCAUUUCAAUAUUAUCUUAAUUUGGGAUGUGAUAAAUUACCACAAACUGAGUGGCUUAAACAACAAACACUUCUCACAGUUAGGGAGGACCUGAAGUCCAUUAUUAAGGUAGAUCUGGUAUGUGGUGAGAAUUCACUUCCUGGUUUGGAGAUGGCUAUCUACGUAUUGUAUCCUUGUAGGUUGGAUAGUAGCCAGGAAGCAAGCUCUCAUUUCUCUUAUACAGGCACUAAUCCCAUUCACGAGGGCUUCACCCUCAUAACCUAAUUACUUCCCUCAAACCUCACCCUUAACGCCAUCACAUGGGGGUUAAGAUUUCAACAUAAAUUUUGGGGAAACACAAACAUUUAGUUCAUGACUAACACAGACUAUUUAACAAAGACACUUUUUUGUGUAUAUGAAGUAUAGUUGUUAUAACCAAACACCAGAAAACCUAUUCUGUAUCUGAGACCUGUUUUGCAAUAGGCUAUUUGGUGUUAGGUAACGAUCUCCUGACUUGUAAUCACUCCUGGUAUUGGGAAAGUCUAAAAUAUUAUGGAGAUACUUGCUUUCAGUGUGUCAUGAAAUUCUCUUCGAGUCACUUUCUGAAUAGAGAAACUCUGUUCUGCAACAGACAUUUGUGAAAGGAUUUGUGAAGACUUACACAGGAUUUUGGUUGAUCAAAUGCAGUCUCAAAAAUAAUUAUAAUUGUGAGUUAAGCAGUUUAGACUCUUCUCAUGAUACAUGCAUUAAACUGAAGAUUAUAGAAA